RNAcentral lists this unclassified non-coding RNA (224 nucleotides) under Hevea brasiliensis (rubber tree). The record is from RNAcentral. Lineage: Eukaryota; Viridiplantae; Streptophyta; Magnoliopsida; Malpighiales; Euphorbiaceae.
ACAAGGCUUUGCUUGAAGGGGUGGCUAUUGAUACAGAGAAAAUUUUGAUUAAUGGGCCGGAACCUUUAAGAGUGUAUUCUAGAAGAGUGAGGAAUGAAGCUAGCAAUGUAGAAAAGUUUGCAGAGGCAUCUAAUGCAAAAAGGCAUGGAAAUACAACUAGGAAGGAGUAACGGUAACCGAUGAGUAGGCAAUAGUUAGGGUAUUAUAAAUAGAGUAUUAGAAUA